Molecule: ribosomal RNA, 232 nt
Filed under: uncultured Staphylococcus sp.
Lineage: Bacteria; Bacillati; Bacillota; Bacilli; Caryophanales; Staphylococcaceae
Description: partial 16S ribosomal RNA
Rfam family: Bacterial small subunit ribosomal RNA
Source: RNAcentral
UAAGAACUGGGAGUAACUACCGUGAAACCGGGGCUAAUACCGGAUAAUACAUGAAACCGCAUGGUUUCAUGAUGAAAGACGGUUUUGCUGUCACUUAUAGAUGGACCCGCGGCGUAUUAGCUAGUUGGUAAGGUAACGGCUUACCAAGGCAACGAUACGUAGCCGACCUGAGAGGGUGAUCGGCCACACUGGAACUGAGACACGGUCCAGACUCCUACGGGAGGCAGCAGAG